AAAAAAAAAAAAAAGAGUGAGUGGAGUUUGUGUUUUAAGUGUGCAUUUCUGUAAUUGAAGACCCUCCAUGACGACGGUACGUGAUAUCAAAUCAAGGUUAGGAUUUUGAUUCAGAAAUAAGGCGGGGCCAGGAUCAAUUGACUCCCACUGCUCACUGAUCACUGCUCACUGCUGACUGCUGACUGCUCACGUGUAUUUAGAUUAGAACAAGAGGAGGUAGUGGUAUUUUUAUU
Molecule: long non-coding RNA, 233 nt
Organism: Macadamia integrifolia
Lineage: Eukaryota; Viridiplantae; Streptophyta; Magnoliopsida; Proteales; Proteaceae
Exons: 2
Source: RefSeq, a predicted model, not a curated record